GAUGAACGCUGGCGGCGUGCCUAAUACAUGCAAGUCGAGCGAACAGACGAGGAGCUUGCUCCUCUGACGUUAGCGGCGGACGGGUGAGUAACACGUGGAUAACCUACCUAUAAGACUGGGAUAACUUCGGGAAACCGGAGCUAAUACCGGAUAAUAUAUUGAACCGCAUGGUUCAAUAGUGAAAGACGGUUUUGCUGUCACUUAUAGAUGGAUCCGCGCCGCAUUAGCUAGUUGGUAAGGUAACGGCUUACCAAGGCGACGAUGCGUAGCCGACCUGAGAGGGUGAUCGGCCACCAUGGAACUGAGACACGGUCCAGAAUCCUACGGGAGGCAGCAGUAGGGAAUCUUCCGCAAUGGGCGAAAGCCUGACGGAGCAACGCCGCGUGAGUGAUGAAGGUCUUCGGAUCGUAAAACUCUGUUAUUAGGGAAGAACAAAUGUGUAAGUAACUAUGCACGUCUUGACGGUACCUAAUCAGAAAGCCACGGCUAACUACGUG
RNAcentral lists this ribosomal RNA (497 nucleotides) under uncultured bacterium. RNAcentral describes it as "partial 16S ribosomal RNA". It matches the Rfam family "Bacterial small subunit ribosomal RNA", at positions 28 to 507 of the family's 1533-position model. The record is from RNAcentral.